This 1473-nucleotide long non-coding RNA is filed under the name Homo sapiens (human). Its description in RNAcentral is "long non-coding RNA NONHSAT209490.1". The record is from RNAcentral. Lineage: Eukaryota; Metazoa; Chordata; Mammalia; Primates; Hominidae.
CUCAUUCAUUUGACAGCCCUCACACCAAAGCACAUCUCCUGCUACAGGCACAUCUCAGCCGAGCCAUGCUACCCUGCCCAGAUUAUGACACUGAUACCAAAACAGUCUUGGACCAAGCUCUCAGAGUAUGUCAGGCAAUGCUGGACGUGGCUGCAAACCAGGGCUGGCUGGUGACUGUCCUGAAUAUCACCAACCUGAUUCAGAUGGUGAUCCAGGGUCGGUGGUUAAAGGACUCUUCUCUUCUUACACUACCAAACAUAGAAAACCAUCAUCUUCACCUUUUCAAGCAUGGAAUUUCUUAUCUCACUUGCCAGUGAUAAAUGUUGGCAUAAGUGUUAAAGGCUCGUGGGAUGACUUAGUUGAAGGACAUAAUGAACUCUCUGUCUCAACUCUGACUGCAGACAAACGAGAUGACAACAAAUGGAUCAAAUUGCAUGCUGACCAAGAGUAUGUGCUUCAAGUGAGCUUGCAGAGAGUCCACUUUGGGUUCCACAAGGGAAAGCCAGAGAGCUGUGCAGUUACUCCUCGAUUUCCCAAAUCAAAAGACGAAGGAUGGUUUUUGAUAUUAGGAGAAGUGGAUAAGAGAGAACUUAUUGCUUUGAAAAGAGUAGGAUAUAUUCGAAAUCAUCAUGUUGCUUCCCUUUCUUUUUAUACCCCUGAAAUACCUGGAAGGUAUAUCUACACAUUAUAUUUCAUGAGUGACUGCUACCUUGGCCUGGACCAGCAGUAUGACAUCUAUCUCAACGUUACACAAGCGAGUCUUUCUGCACAGGUCAACACCAAGGUCUCUGAUUCCCUGACUGACCUGGCAUUAAAGUAACUUGACCUGAACAAUCCAUUUGAAAGGAGUGGCUAAGAAUUCUCUCUGUUCAGUCAUCUAGACAAAUCGAAUUACUUGAUGUUUGCCUUGAAAGAAUCAACUUCUAACCUCAACCAUCCAGGAAAUUGACAGUGGCUGCAGUAUUGACUCCAGUGACAUAAAGUUAACCACAGUGGCCUUUUAACAAAUGUUGCCUUUUAUAAUGUUAUCUUUAUGAGUUUCUUGAUAUGUAAGAUGAAAAAGCAUUUAGAAUAAUCUUUUAAUUUGUGUAUAUUUGGGAUGAUAUUUAGGAGCUAUCAAUCAAAUUUUACAUCUCACAAUGUACUGUUUACAUGGAUAUUGGCUGCUUUUUUUAAGGAAAACCACAUUGAGAUGUGACAAGUGUUAGGACUUGUCACAGAUUUCUAACUCUGCCGCAUAAACUAUAAAUCUGUAAGGUGGUACACAGCGUGUCUUGUUAGCAAAAUUUAUACUUUGAUAUGAUCACAUGUAGAAGUAGCUUCAAGAAUUUCUUGUAGUCAUAAAUGUUUAAUAAUAUAUGAUGUAAAAUUAUAUUAUGGAGCCUAAUGAUGAUAACAAAGAAAACAAUAUACUGAUCUUAGAAAAUGUAGACAUGGUUAACUGGGAAAUAAAAUAUAGAGUGGCACUUCAAG